CAACGAUGAAGAACGCAGCGAAAUGCGAUACGUAGUGUGAAUUGCAGAAUUCCGCGAAUCAUCGAGUCUUUGAACGCAAGUUGCGCCCGAGGCUUGUCCGAGGGCAUUUCCGCUAGAGCGUCACC
RNAcentral lists this ribosomal RNA (125 nucleotides) under Sarmentypnum exannulatum. Its description in RNAcentral is "partial 5.8S ribosomal RNA". It matches the Rfam family "5.8S ribosomal RNA", at positions 31 to 154 of the family's 154-position model. From Rfam's summary of the family: 5.8S ribosomal RNA (5.8S rRNA) is a component of the large subunit of the eukaryotic ribosome. The record is from RNAcentral. Lineage: Eukaryota; Viridiplantae; Streptophyta; Bryopsida; Hypnales; Amblystegiaceae.